UACGUAGGGGGCAAGCGUUGUCCGGAUUUAUUGGGCGUAAAGAGCGUGUAGGCGGCCAGGUAGGUCCGUUGUGAAAACUGGAGGCUUAACCUCCAGCUGUCGAUGGAAACCAUCUGGCUAGAGUCCGGAAGAGGAGAGUGGAAUUCCUGGUGUAGCGGUGAAAUGCGCAGAUAUCAGGAAGAACACCCGUGGCGAAGGCGGCUCACUGGCCCGGUACUGACGCUGAGGUGCGAAAGCGUGGGGAGCAAACAGG
This 253-nucleotide ribosomal RNA is filed under the name uncultured bacterium. RNAcentral describes it as "partial 16S ribosomal RNA". It matches the Rfam family "Bacterial small subunit ribosomal RNA", at positions 524 to 776 of the family's 1533-position model. The record is from RNAcentral.